ACAACCUAUGCACAUUGAUUAUCAAGUAUUAUCUCUUUGGCUACUGGAGUUGAUUGGGAUAAACAAGUGGUGAUCAUCCAUUUCUACCUUCCUCUCAUCAUUAUACUUUUGAUUAUAUAAGAUUGACUCUAGCAUCACUUUUUUAUUCACACCCUUUAUCCUUACUUUUGAAUUUUAUAAAUCUCUCCUAGAGUUACUCCGAGUCUUUCGUUUUUGUUUUGAGGUUUCCCUAUAAUCUGUACAUUUUCCUUAUUUUUAAUACUGAAGCUUGUUCUAAGAUGAUUUCUCCUGGGUUUUAGUGAAGGUAAGGAAAAACUUUUGGUGAGGCUCGGGGGAAGGGAAGACGGUAGAAAUCACACCCGUUUUGUUCACCAUUUCCUCGAUAAUACAAAGGGGCAUUUUUCUCAUCUCUACUUUGGCAAUUUUAGAUCCAGCCGGCUAGAGAUUAUGGGACCUCUUUAGGGGUGUCUCUCUACAGCGAGUUGGGGUUUGCUUCCACUCACAGAUCCUAUGGGAGCCUUUUGGAUAAAAUUCUUCAAAUCCAUCCAUUUCCAAAAUUUUUCAAAUGGACCUAUCUCUGAUGAUAGCACAUAGAGAUAUAGUGUGCAAAGUCAUCUGAUCAUUAGCAUUAGGGUCGGUCUCCUAUUAUGAGCUUGUUGGCUUUAUGAUGUCCUAUCCUGUACCAAAUUUAUGUAUGCUGAAAAGGGUUGCUCGGAUGGAUUCCAUACAAACAAGAAGGAAAUCAUUUUGGGCCUAAAUAUAUGGCAUCAUGCAUAUUUCUUGUUGUUUUAGGAGAUCUUCAUUGUUCCCAUGUUUAAAAGUCUCAUUUUUAAUGAUUUUCCUUUAUGUAUUAACUCUGUAAAUGACUCUUAGAACAACAUUUAUACUGCACAUUCAUUUAUUUUGUAUGUUUUUGCUAAAGCCAUCCUUCGCUAAAAAUUACAAUCUUUGAGGCACCUCUUUGGGUGUCUUACCUCUUU
Molecule: long non-coding RNA, 980 nt
Filed under: Capsicum annuum
Lineage: Eukaryota; Viridiplantae; Streptophyta; Magnoliopsida; Solanales; Solanaceae
Description: long non-coding RNA (CANN_LNC006470)
Source: RNAcentral